GGGAAAACACAGUAGAUUGUGGAGAUCUUGUGAUGUCUGUCAAGUGUGAACCAAAAAUCUGGGAACUGAAAGGGUUGAAGGGAUAUGGUUAGACACAUCUCAAAUAGGAGAAGUGGACUUGAUUUCAACAGCCUUUUUGAGGAUGUAUAACCUUAGAUUGCUCAAAAUCUACAAUUUUACAAUUAGAAAUAACUGUAAACUGCACCUUUCUCGUGGCCUUGAGUUCCUUUCUGAUAAGUUGAGGUAUCUCCAUU
RNAcentral lists this unclassified non-coding RNA (254 nucleotides) under Hevea brasiliensis (rubber tree). The record is from RNAcentral. Lineage: Eukaryota; Viridiplantae; Streptophyta; Magnoliopsida; Malpighiales; Euphorbiaceae.